Long non-coding RNA from Macrobrachium nipponense, 759 nucleotides. RefSeq lists it as uncharacterized. The record is from RefSeq and is a predicted model, not a curated record. Lineage: Eukaryota; Metazoa; Arthropoda; Malacostraca; Decapoda; Palaemonidae. The transcript has 3 exons.
CUGUCGGUUAUGGGCUUUCAACUCAGGCCCAGGAGUCACCAGUACUCUACAAGAUGGUCCUAUUUCCCUGGAAGAAUCCUCUGAUAAGUUUCGCUACGAGGACCUUACUGUACCCUGUAGUGGUUACAACAUCUAUUAAAAAGCUUUUAGUCUGCUUGGCUGAACUCUGUACCUCUGGCUGCACUAACCCACCAUCCUCAUUCAAUGUGGUAGUCGGCUAACUUUACCAGUAGGUCACUGGGAAUGAAUCCAUGGCAGAGGAGACUGAAGAGCAGAUUCUUCAAGACAGUAACAUAAUUUGAACAUUUAUCCUCCCUGAAUGUGUUUCAGCCCCCCUCUUCCCCAAGGAUGAGGAGAACCCCUUAGUAUGGAUCUCACGACUUGUAAGUCAAACCCCUGUACAGGUUAACACCGAUGAAGGCAUCGAUGCAUCCCUUUGCAAUACAACCAUACAAGAUGGAAAGACUGUUCUGCUAGUAAGCUGAUAACAAGGGAAUUAAUGUGCAGGCCUGAGCCAUAUUUACUCCAACCAUCAUCUCCCACCAUCAUAUCACAAACUCGGCCCGACAUCUAUACCAAACUAUCAGCCCCGAUAACACCAAUGACCAGAAGACGGACCAGAUCUGCACCAUCUCCUCCACCUCCGACACUCAAACACAGACCGCAAAUUUACUCUCCCCAAGAAAACACUACAGAAGACAACUCCUCACAGACAAAUGAACAACCAACGAUUCCCCCCCCCCCCCCCCCUCCCUCCCC